Molecule: ribosomal RNA, 253 nt
Filed under: uncultured bacterium
Lineage: Bacteria
Description: partial 16S ribosomal RNA
Rfam family: Bacterial small subunit ribosomal RNA
Source: RNAcentral
UACAGAGGGCCCAAGCGUUGUUCGGAUUCACUGGGCGUAAAGGGUGCGUAGGCGGUCGGGUAAGUCUGACGUGAAAUCUUCAAGCUCAACUUGGAAACUGCGUCGGAUACUAUUAGGCUCGAGGAAUGGAGGGGAGACUGGAAUACUUGGUGUAGCAGUGAAAUGCGUAGAUAUCAAGUGGAACACCAGUGGCGAAGGCGAGUCUCUGGACAUUUCCUGACGCUGAGGCACGAAAGCCAGGGGAGCAAACGGG